RNAcentral lists this ribosomal RNA (250 nucleotides) under uncultured bacterium. RNAcentral describes it as "partial 16S ribosomal RNA". It matches the Rfam family "Bacterial small subunit ribosomal RNA", at positions 30 to 282 of the family's 1533-position model. The record is from RNAcentral.
AUUGAACGCUGGCGGCAGGCCUAACACAUGCAAGUCGAGCGGCAGCAAGCCUUCGGGCGUUGGCGAGCGGCGGACGGGUGAGGAAUACGCAGGAAUCUGCCUGGUAGAGGGGGAUAGCCCAGAGAAAUUUGGAGUAAUACCGCAUAUGCCCUGAGGGGGAAAGUGGGGGACCGAAAGGCCUCACGCUAUCAGAGGAGCCUGCGUCGGAUUAGCUAGUUGGUGUGGUAAAGGCUCACCAAGGCGACGAUCC